Molecule: long non-coding RNA, 1169 nt
Filed under: Geospiza fortis (medium ground-finch)
Lineage: Eukaryota; Metazoa; Chordata; Aves; Passeriformes; Thraupidae
Description: lncRNA (ENSGFOG00000012934.1)
Source: RNAcentral
AAACUAUCACAAACCCCGGUUCACCCUGAGAUAGAAUAGAUUUAUUAGCAAGAGGUAAUCAGGAAACAUAUAUUUUUACAAAAAAAAUGGAAAUAUCUUUUUUUUUUCCCAAACAAGCUGUAAGUUGAAAUAGUUUUAGGGCUUGAAAGAGAAUUCCCAUACCACGAGGUAUUGCUUACAGCAAGUGUUGUGUGAGUGGAGCAUGCCUGCCACUGCCGGGGAACCGUGUCAGGGACUGUACAAUGUAAAAAACCCAGGUACUAUUCACAGAAUAAGCACUACAUUACUAUAUCCUGCUAGCAGGUGGUUAGCCAGGAUUACAGUAGAUGUAAUAAAAACACUCGUCAUCUCUAACUCUACGUCAUGGUACUCAGAGUGGGCACAAGGGCACGGAUCUACAGCAUAUCAACAGGAGCCGGAUGCAGCGAGGAGAGGCGAGGGGAUGCUUCCAUCUUCCCAGCUUCGGGGGCACCAGGGCAGCAGCCAGGGCCCCCCGUGCCCGGCCAGCACCAGGGUGGCACACACACAGAGGGCAGCUCACACCGAGGGACAACCUUUAAUGCGCUCCCUUCUCCCACCUUACAGAGUUGGGAUGUAACCGCCAGCACUGCCCGUGUGAGAGCUGCUCUGUGCUGCCCCAGAGCCCCACGGGGACAUGGGGCUCACCUGCCCCACAGGGACUCACCUGGCCCAUGGGGACACAGGACUCACCUGCCCCACGGGGACACAGGGACUCACCUGGCCCAUGGGGACACAGGGCUCACCUGCCCCACAGGGACUCACCUGGCCCAUGGGGACACAGGACUCACCUGCCCCACGGGGACACAGGGACUCACCUGUGCCAUGGUGACACAGGGCUCACCUGCCCCGAGGAGGCAGAGGGCUCACCUGGCCCACAGGGCUCACCUGCCCCACGGGGACUCACCUGCCCGACCACCAGCCCCCCAGGAGGAACAAAUGACAAAAGUAACAUCAUGGAAAAGAGCCCGGGACUCCAGCGAAGUGUCGGCGCGUUAAACCGGGACGGGGCGGGGAAUCCUACGCGAGCGCGGCGGGGCCGGGGCCGGGGCGGGGGAAGCACAGACGGGGGUCGCUCCGGGGCGCCCGUGGAGCGGGGCUAUGUACAGGGGUACAACGAGAGUCCGGCGGCCGCGGCGCUCACGAAGGGA